Molecule: long non-coding RNA, 946 nt
Filed under: Fukomys damarensis (Damara mole-rat)
Lineage: Eukaryota; Metazoa; Chordata; Mammalia; Rodentia; Bathyergidae
Description: lncRNA (ENSFDAG00000026494.1)
Source: RNAcentral
UUCAAACUAGCUUUUCGGUAUUUGUAUCAUCUAACAAAAUGAGAUGGCCACGAACCUUGACCUCCAGGAUUUGGCGGACCUUGUACGUGCGGUCACUUGCGAACGAAUGUGAGGCGCUGCGUUCCACGUGAUGUCAGGCUCGCGGCUUUGGCUCGAAGUUAUCGCUGAGCUCCAUUGGUGCUCGGGUGUGCAGAUUUCCACUGGCACAGAAAGCCAAUGAGACAGGGAGGGCAAACCUUCAUGUGGUGUUUGCUCCGUUCCUCCGCCACUUUCCGGCUAUCUGAAUAUUCUUCACUUUCAAAAGAGUCCAACCAGAAAUGCAAUGAAGAGUUUAAUUUUCGUUUCUUAAACAGGGUUCACUGUGACUCCGUUAUGCAUGUAAGUACGAUCAGGCUGCCCCAGGAAGCCUGUGCCCUGCAUUGGAAUACUUCACAGAAUACAAGGUUCUGGUAGAUCGGAUGUGAGCAUACUCCACUGAGAAUAUCAAACUGACACCCAUUAAACUUCUUACUGGGCUGAAUAAACUCCAUUUGGUCCAGUUAAAAUGGUUUUCUUUUUGUUAAAAGUUUUAUUUGUAAAGUCCUGUCACAUUCCUGGUCUAAACUGGGUUGAAAAACUUGAAAAUUUCCCACCAGCUGGGAAAUAGUGGCUGCAGUACAGAAUUAUGUAUCUGAGGUUCUGCCAUCAGUCCUGUUACCCAAGGGGCCAGACGGUGGAGGAGGAAGGCACAGAGUUUCUGUUUACCAAGUCACAAUAAGCUGGAAGCCAAAACAAUCUGCACUCUAAGACAGCCUGUUUUUUUGUUUUGUUUUUUCUUCUCAUUGAGUUUAUUGGUGCAUUUUAGGUAUACAGUACAGUUACAUUCAUCAUUGGGAUCUUGCACCUUUACAUGAGAGGUCUUGGUUCUCAUUUUUUCCCCAUACCCCUACCCUCCCUUCACCCCUCC